RNAcentral lists this unclassified non-coding RNA (203 nucleotides) under Hevea brasiliensis (rubber tree). Lineage: Eukaryota; Viridiplantae; Streptophyta; Magnoliopsida; Malpighiales; Euphorbiaceae. The record is from RNAcentral.
AGUGAAGGUACAAGUAGAAGAUGAUAGAAUCUUAAAGAUUAGUGGGGAGAAAAAAAUAGUAGAAAAAGAAUAUGACAAUUGGCAUCAUUUUCAGAAAAAAGUUGGCAAGUUUUCAACUGUUUUUAAUUUGCCUGAGGAUGCUGGGGUUGAUAAAGUGAUAUCAACAAUGGAGAAGGAAGUGCUUAUUGUCACUAUUCCUAAGA